Molecule: ribosomal RNA, 303 nt
Filed under: uncultured bacterium
Lineage: Bacteria
Description: partial 16S ribosomal RNA
Rfam family: Bacterial small subunit ribosomal RNA
Source: RNAcentral
AGCAGCAGCCGCGGUAAUACGUAGGUCCCGAGCGUUGUCCGGAUUUAUUGGGCGUAAAGGGAGCGCAGGCGGUCAGGAAAGUCUGGAGUAAAAGGCUAUGGCUCAACCAUAGUGUGCUCUGGAAACUGUCUGACUUGAGUGCAGAAGGGGAGAGUGGAAUUCCAUGUGUAGCGGUGAAAUGCGUAGAUAUGUGGAGGAACACCAGUGGCGAAAGCGGCUCUCUGGUCUGUCACUGACGCUGAGGCUCGAAAGCGUGGGUAGCGAACAGGAUUAGAUACCCCCGUAGUCCCUGUCUCUUAUACA